GGGGCUGUAGCUCAGUCGGUUAGAGCAUCGGACUCAUAAUCCGCCGGUCACUUGUCCGAUCAGCACCACCA
This 71-nucleotide transfer RNA is filed under the name Bifidobacterium pseudocatenulatum CAG:263. RNAcentral's name for it is "transfer RNA-Pseudo(CAT)". It matches the Rfam family "tRNA". Rfam says of the family: Transfer RNA (tRNA) molecules are approximately 80 nucleotides in length. Their secondary structure includes four short double-helical elements and three loops (D, anti-codon, and T loops). Lineage: Bacteria; Bacillati; Actinomycetota; Actinomycetes; Bifidobacteriales; Bifidobacteriaceae. The record is from RNAcentral.